GAUGAACGCUGGCGGCGUGCCUAACACAUGCAAGUCGAGCGAACGGACGAGAAGCUUGCUUCUCUGAUGUUAGCGGCGGACGGGUGAGUAACACGUGGAUAACCUACCUAUAAGACUGGGAUAACUUCGGGAAACCGGAGCUAAUACCGGAUAAUAUUUUGAGCCGCAUGGUUCAAAAGUGAAAGACGGUCUUGCUGUCACUUAUAGAUGGAUCCGCGCUGCAUUAGCUAGUUGGUAAGGUAACGGCUUACCAAGGCAACGAUGCAUAGCCGACCUGAGAGGGUGAUCGGCCACACUGGAACUGAGACACGGUCCAGACUCCUACGGGAGGCAGCAGUAGGGAAUCUUCCGCAAUGGGCGAAAGCCUGACGGAGCAACGCCGCGUGGGUGAUGAAGGUCUUCGGAUCGUAAAACUCUGUUAUUAGGGAAGAACAUAUGUGUAAGUAACUGUGCGCAUCUUGACGGUACCUAAUCAGAAAGCCCCGGCUAACUACGUG
RNAcentral lists this ribosomal RNA (497 nucleotides) under uncultured bacterium. Its description in RNAcentral is "partial 16S ribosomal RNA". It matches the Rfam family "Bacterial small subunit ribosomal RNA", at positions 28 to 507 of the family's 1533-position model. The record is from RNAcentral.